UGUUGGGAUACUACCCUUGUUUGAAGGAUGCUCUAACCUCGACCUGUAAGCCAGGCCAGGGACAGUGUCAGGUGGGCAGUUUGACUGGGGCGGUCGCCUCCUAAAGUGUAACGGAGGCGCUCAAAGGUUCCCUCAGAAUGGUUGGAAAUCAUUCGCAGAGUGUAAAGGUAUAAGGGAGCUUGACUGCGAGAGAGACAACUCGAGCAGGUAGGAAACUAGGACUUAGUGAUCUGGUGGUACCGUAUGGAAGGGCCAUCACUCAACGGAUAAAAGCUACCCUGGGGAUAACAGGCUUAUCUCCCCCAAGAGUUCACAUCGACGGGGAGGUUUGGCACCUCGAUGUCGGCUCGUCGCAUCCUGGGGCUGAAGUCGGUCCCAAGGGUUGGGCUGUUCGCCCAUUAAAGCGGCACGCGAG
RNAcentral lists this ribosomal RNA (415 nucleotides) under Lactobacillus crispatus. RNAcentral's name for it is "partial 23S ribosomal RNA". It matches the Rfam family "Bacterial large subunit ribosomal RNA", at positions 2190 to 2604 of the family's 2925-position model. Lineage: Bacteria; Bacillati; Bacillota; Bacilli; Lactobacillales; Lactobacillaceae. The record is from RNAcentral.